GAUGAACGCUAGCGGCAGGCCUAACACAUGCAAGUCGAGGGGUAACAUAGAAAAGCUUGCUUUUCUGAUGACGACCGGCGCACGGGUGCGUAACGCGUAUACAACCUACCUUUUAGCGGGGAGUAGCCCAGGGAAACUUGGAUUAAUGCCCCAUAGUAUAUGGACUUCUCCUGAAGUUUAUAUUAAACAUUUAUGGCUAUUAGAUGGGUAUGCGUCCUAUUAGUUAGUUGGUAAGGUAACGGCUUACCAAGGCAGCGAUAGGUAGGGGUCCUGAGAGGGAGAUCCCCACACUGGUACUGAGACACGGACCAGACUCCUACGGGAGGCAGCAGUGAGGAAUAUUGGACAAUGGGCGAGAGCCUGAUCCAGCCAUGCCGCGUGCAGGAAGACUGCCCUAUGGGUUGUAAACUGCUUUUACAGAGGAAGAACCACCCCCACGUGUGGGGGUUUGACGGUACUCUGCGAAUAAGGAUCGGCUAACUCCGUG
This 487-nucleotide ribosomal RNA is filed under the name uncultured bacterium. RNAcentral describes it as "bacterial SSU rRNA". It matches the Rfam family "Bacterial small subunit ribosomal RNA", at positions 28 to 507 of the family's 1533-position model. The record is from RNAcentral.